This 130-nucleotide small nucleolar RNA is filed under the name Salvator merianae (Argentine black and white tegu). Its description in RNAcentral is "Small nucleolar RNA SNORA47 (ENSSMRG00000002959.1)". It matches the Rfam family "Small nucleolar RNA SNORA47". Lineage: Eukaryota; Metazoa; Chordata; Lepidosauria; Squamata; Teiidae. The record is from Rfam by way of RNAcentral.
UGGAGGACUGAGAAAAUAAGGCAGUUAUAUGUACUGCAUUUAUUGGUUAUACCCUCCAAAAUCAAAACUGUGCAAAAAGCAAGUCAUGUUCCUCUGAUCUGUGUUGGAACACUAUUGCUGGUUGCAUAUA